AUUGGACGCUGGCGGCAGGCCUAACACAUGCAAGUCGAGCGGCAGCGGGAAAGUAGCUUGCUACUUUUGCCGGCGAGCGGCGGACGGGUGAGUAAUGCCUGGGGAUCUGCCCAGUCGAGGGGGAUAACUACUGGAAACGGUAGCUAAUACCGCAUACGCCCUACGGGGGAAAGCAGGGGACCUUCGGGCCUUGCGCGAUUGGAUGAACCCAGGUGGGAUUAGCUAGUUGGUGAGGUAAGGGCUCACCAAGGCGCCGAUCCCUAGCUGGUCUGAGAGGAUGAUCAGCCACACUGGAACUGAGACACGGUCCAGACUCCUACGGGAGGCAGCAGUGGGGAAUAUUGCACAAUGGGGGCAACCCUGAUGCAGCCAUGCCGCGUGUGUGAAGAAGGCCUUCGGGUUGUAAAGCACUUUCAGCGAGGAGGAAAAGUUGGUAGCUAAUAACUGCCAGCUGUGACGUUACUCGCAGAAGAAGCACCGGCUAACUCCGUGCCAGCCGCCGCAGUAA
Molecule: ribosomal RNA, 508 nt
Filed under: uncultured bacterium
Lineage: Bacteria
Description: partial 16S ribosomal RNA
Rfam family: Bacterial small subunit ribosomal RNA
Source: RNAcentral